UUGUGGUUCUAAACUAACCGAUACACAACAGGAAGGCGAAAUUUUUAAGACGUAAGAAAAAAAUGCAAUACUAUUUGCUCCAUUCUAAUUUAGUGUCGAAUGCCAAUAGUGCAGUCAGUGUUCGUCUUUGCUACUGAUAAUUACACGACCGAAUAAAUCCUUGUGUCUUGGCGUUAAGUAUAAUUGUUUGUACUUUUCAAAUGACUAAUCAAAUUGAAAAUUAUGAAUUCAAAAAUCACGUUUUAAAUCAUAACCAUUGGCAUAAACCAAAAUGUAUUAAUAGCGUCAAAUUUAUAAACCGAAAAAAUGUGCAGGAUUCCGAUGAGAUUUCAACGAACAAAUUUGAUAAACGAUUCAGAUCUCACUCAAUCAAUUAUGUGUCGUCCGACUAUGAAAGUUUGGAUUAUGACACUUACGAAAGUGAACUCACUGUUAGAGAAGAAAAACAGCAUGGUUAUAAAACUGUAGUUGUAAUUAAUCUGAUAAGAUGGCUUAUUUAUUUUUCAAUUGCCAUUUGCACUGCAGCUGUUGGAAUAUGUAUCGAUAUUAUCAUUGAAUACUUGUGCAGUUGGAAGUAUGAAUCGAUACAAAGAUGCAUCGAUAAAGAAAGUAAUUAUUCAACGACAGAGUGCGCAGUUAAUUGGAUACUGUUUACCAUUGUCCCAGCAACUAUAGGAUGUUGUGUUGUUUUGUUAAUGGAGCCCUCGGCUGCCGGAAGUGGUAUACCAUUCGUAAUAGCGUACUUAAACGGUGUGCGAAUUCCAAGAAUGACAGCAGUUCGUUGUCUAUUGGUUAAAGUCGUUAGCGUGAUAUGCGUUUGUGUGGCCGGCCUUGGCGGAGGAAAGGAAGGACCACUGAUACACAUUGGGUCUAUGGUCGGUGGUUCAGUGGUCGAAGCCUGGUGGAAAGGGUUGAGAAAUAGUCCUGGCCAACAAUUUAUCGGACCGUUGCAAAAUGACCGAGAAAGAAGAGAUAUGAUGGCAGCCGGAUCUGCCGCAGGGUUAUCAUCUGCCUUUGGGGCACCAGUUGGCGGAACGUUGAUGAGUUUAGAAGAAGGUACUAGUUUUUGGAGCUCCAGUCUUAUGUGGAAAGUAUUCUUUUGUGCCGCAGUAGCAUUUCCGACCUGCAAUGUUGGAAAAAAGUUAUUGAAGGAUAACAAUAUAAACGUUACCGAGUCGGUCGAUGGCCAAAGUUUGUACUUCUUUGGAAACUUCAAUGACACAACGCUUUCUUUUUCUUACUCAGAAUUUCCUAUUUUCAUAGCAUUUGGUACUUUCGGAGGAAUCCUAGGAGCGCUGUUUGUUACUGUUAAUUACCGGUUGUCCAUUUAUAGGAUGAAGCACGUCACGUCAAAUAGAAAAAAAUUACUUGAAUGUAUACUUACUGCAAUUAUAGCUUCAGUUGUCAGUUUAUUAUCAAUGUCGUUAUUAAACUACUGUCAUUCAAAAGCAGGAAAAAACGCAUCAUACGCUGUGCAAAUGAACUGUCCAAAAGGAUUUUAUAACGAAAUAAGUACAUUCUGGCUUCAUACGCAAGAAGAAAAUAUCAGAACGUUAUUUCAUAGUCCCAUCGACGAAUUCUCUGUAGUGCCAUUAUUACUCUAUGGAAUGAUAUAUUUUUUCUUAACCGUAUUCACAGUCGGUCUAAACAUGUCAGCUGGAAUAUUUUUACCAUCAUUAUUGAUUGGUGCCGUAUGGGGACGUAUUGCUGGCACAGUAAUCCAUUAUUAUGUACCAUACAUUGUCGGGCUCGACCCGUCAAAAUAUGCAUUGCUCGGGGCUGCAGCUACAUUAGGCGGCAUUGCCAGGAUCACCAUAAGUCUAACCGUAGUGCUCAUCGAAGCCACGGGAAAUCUACAAUUUCUGUUACCGCUCAUGAUCACUUUGUUCACGGCCAAGUGGACCGGCGAUUUCUUUAGCGACGGUAUAUACGAGAUGCAGAUCAAUCUAUCCGGGGUGCCCAUGUUGGUCAGCGAACCACCGCCUUUGACCGGGGACAUCACGGCCGGCGACUUUAUGAACGACAAGGUCAGUGCGCUGCCUCAGAUAAUGAUGAUCGGAAAGCUAGUGGACGUGUUAAACACGACCAGACAUAACGGAUUUCCGGUAGUGUUGCCAAAUGUCUGUUUUUGCAAUCGUAUCAACGAAAAAGAUCACAAGUGCUAUGGGCUUCUGAAAGGGUUCAUUCUACGGUCGCAGUUGAACGUUGUUGUCAAGCACAAGUUGUACAUCACGCCGUUGCACGAUGAAAACUUUUGUAAGAAACUGGAGCUCAUAAGAAAAUCAACGUACUUUUCUCACGAAUCCAAUACAUUCGAAAAAAUAAUAGUCAACGAAAACGAAAAAAAUAUCGCCAUUGAUUUACGGCCUUACAUGAAUCCAGCUCCGUACAUAACCAGACUGGAAACGAGUUUGCCAAGGACUUUUAGAUUGUUUCGCACACUUGGUCUGCGGCAUAUAGUAGUCAUCAAUAAUACAAAUGAGGUGGUUGGCAUGAUCACACGAAAAGAUCUUGCAAGAUUCCGUCUUUGGAGAAAAGCUGCCACGAUGGGUCUAAAAGAACUCAACGUUUAUUAAGUGUAUAAAUUAAAAAUAACUACACCGGUUAUCCUAUAAUUAUGACCUAUACUACAAAAUGAUAGCGUGAGGCAAAUGGAAAAUCGUGUACAAAUACAGUGCCGAACUCCUGCAAUUAUAUGCUGUCUCUGAAUAAAAUAAAAUUAUUAAGUUUGUAGUAAAAAAUAUCAAAUAUGUAAUAGUUUUUUGAUAGGCGGUGUGUAUCUAAUAGAUUAAUAACUAAGACCAAUGUUGAUAAUUGUAACUAAAGUACCUAUCAGUUGAUACAGUGAUGAGCAAAUUAUUUAUGGCUGUACAGCAUAUUAUAGUAAAAAAAAGUCCAUUACAUCCCUUGAGAAUAGGUCCCUGAAUUGAUAUUUGUUGCCCGUCUCUGCUACUCGGCAGUUAAUAUUAUAAUUGGCGAAAGAAACUAAUGAGCCGUAACAAGGAAUCUGUACUUUAAUUCGCAAGUUUUUUAUAAUAUACUACGCCCCGUCACGCAAACCACGUCUAUUCCCGCUUGCUUUUUAUUUAUAUUC
This is an RNA transcript of Adelges cooleyi (spruce gall adelgid), 3094 nucleotides long. It is a transcript of the gene named H(+)/Cl(-) exchange transporter 7-like, with no coding region annotated. NCBI's taxonomy places the organism in Eukaryota, Metazoa, Arthropoda, Insecta, Hemiptera, Adelgidae. The record is from RefSeq and is a predicted model, not a curated record. The transcript is spliced from 18 exons.